This 635-nucleotide ribosomal RNA is filed under the name Levilactobacillus brevis. RNAcentral describes it as "bacterial SSU rRNA". It matches the Rfam family "Bacterial small subunit ribosomal RNA", at positions 342 to 968 of the family's 1533-position model. The record is from RNAcentral. Lineage: Bacteria; Bacillati; Bacillota; Bacilli; Lactobacillales; Lactobacillaceae.
CGGGAGGCAGCAGUAGGGAAUCUUCCACAAUGGACGAAAGUCUGAUGGAGCAAUGCCGCGUGAGUGAAGAAGGGUUUCGGCUCGUAAAACUCUGUUGUUAAAGAAGAACACCUUUGAGAGUAACUGUUCAAGGGUUGACGGUAUUUAACCAGAAAGCCACGGCUAACUACGUGCCAGCAGCCGCGGUAAUACGUAGGUGGCAAGCGUUGUCCGGAUUUAUUGGGCGUAAAGCGAGCGCAGGCGGUUUUUUAAGUCUGAUGUGAAAGCCUUCGGCUUAACCGGAGAAGUGCAUCGGAAACUGGGAGACUUGAGUGCAGAAGAGGACAGUGGAACUCCAUGUGUAGCGGUGGAAUGCGUAGAUAUAUGGAAGAACACCAGUGGCGAAGGCGGCUGUCUAGUCUGUAACUGACGCUGAGGCUCGAAAGCAUGGGUAGCGAACAGGAUUAGAUACCCUGGUAGUCCAUGCCGUAAACGAUGAGUGCUAAGUGUUGGAGGGUUUCCGCCCUUCAGUGCUGCAGCUAACGCAUUAAGCACUCCGCCUGGGGAGUACGACCGCAAGGUUGAAACUCAAAGGAAUUGACGGGGGCCCGCACAAGCGGNGGANCAUGUGGUUUNAUUCGAAGCUACGCGAAGAA